RNAcentral lists this long non-coding RNA (887 nucleotides) under Brassica rapa (field mustard). Its description in RNAcentral is "long non-coding RNA (BRAP_LNC006619)". Lineage: Eukaryota; Viridiplantae; Streptophyta; Magnoliopsida; Brassicales; Brassicaceae. The record is from RNAcentral.
AUUUUUCCAAAUAAAUCCAUGUUGUUUUAACUGUCUUGAAUAAUUAGAAAAACAUAUAUGAAAAAGUACAUAUCACAUAUAUAAAAGCACAAAUAAAAUAAAAUAUAUUCAUAAUCUUGUAUUGAAAAGUACAAAAAGACAAGUUAAGCUCCCAAAAUACCUUAUAAAUUACAUUUAAACAAUUCUCUUUAAUCUUUCUCGCAGUCCCAUGAAAAAAUAAUAUCUCAUAUUUACAGAUAACGCAACUCAAAAAAUGACAAAACGGUAUAUAUAUCUACCACACAUCCUCUGCAAAAACAAAAACAAAAAUAUUUAAUUAUAACCAUGAAUUAUAUAAAAUUCAUGCAAAGCUUAGAUAUGACUCAAUUAGUUAUAAAACAACACUUCCUAUACAAACUUUACAAUAAAGAGCACAAAUGUCUUGGGUUAGCUAAACCAAAUACUGCUUAACAAUUUAAAAUUAAAGUUAUAUUAUUACUAAAGCCAAACGCUACAUAACAACUAAUACUAUGAAAGUCUCUUCAAAAUAAACACAAUAUGAAAAUAAUACAUAGUCUUGAAAAAAAAAACUGCAAAACGUUAAAAAAAAGUAAUUCAAUACAAACAAAUAACUCCAAAAAAUUUAACACUCAUGAAAAAAUGAUCUUUAAAGCCAAAAUUAGAAGAAGACAAUAAAUUCAUCUUUUUAACCUCACCCUAUAUAAUACAUUUCUACAAUACCUUAUGCUCCCACAGAUACUCCAAGAAUGAGUAACCAACCACUUAUAUCUCAUCGGUUGUCACAUCAAUCAAGUUUUCAGGUGAUAACCCAAAGCAAACACUACUAAAUCCACAUAUCCAACACACAACAAUCCAUCAUUGAUUUUCAGCUACCAUUUAUCAUUGAC